RNAcentral lists this unclassified non-coding RNA (537 nucleotides) under Hevea brasiliensis (rubber tree). Lineage: Eukaryota; Viridiplantae; Streptophyta; Magnoliopsida; Malpighiales; Euphorbiaceae. The record is from RNAcentral.
GGGAAAAAAAAAAAAAAAGCUUGCAUCUAUUAUGCUUAUUGAUAAGACAAGGAAAAUCAUAUGAGCAAUUUUGCCACUGACAUUGAGACGAAAAGCAAUAAUUAUAUUCUAUUGCUACCUCAAAUCUUCACAUAAGCUCCACAUAACAAGGGCAAGUGAUAAGUGCAACAUCUUGUACAAAUAGUAAGCCAAAACUCAGUUUCAAAUAAAUUAAUUCUAUUGAGAAAAAAUGGAUGUUUGUGCUUGUGGUGUAAAGAAGAAACUGUGAUCACACCUUCUACCUUGCAGUAAUAUAAAAGAAAACAAAAUGCACAUAAUGGUCCACUGAUUUUCAAGCAUUACAACUGGUAACUUGCUAAAACUGCACCCACUUAUGUCUUUUGCUGCAUGAGGUCCAUAAAAUAGGUGACCUACUACUGGUUUAGCAGGUUAAACAUUACUAUUAAUCAGUACUCUGUUGUGACGGUAACUCAAGAAGAGGGAGAAGUUCAAGUUAACAAGUCAAGAGGAUCUUUGCUGAGUUGUAUUUUAGGAGGG